UAAAACGUGUUUUGGUAUAAAUUUAAUAAUUUUUCAGGCUUAAAAAUAUUUAAAAUACACUUGAAAUUCAAAAAAAAAAAAUCAAAAAUCAAAUAUUUUACCAAAGAAAUAAUUUUUCACAUUUUUCCAAAAAAAAUUACAAAAGGCACAUUUUCAUAAACAAUCUUUUCCAAAAUAUAUUUUUAAAAACAAUUCGAAUAUUGAAUUUCCAUUUUUUUUAAGAAAAUUUUUUUUAUAAAAUAUUAUGAAUUUUUGUCACAAGCAUUAAUUUCGAAAAUAUUUUGCGCUUUCUACGAAUAAAAAAAAAAUAAAAACUAAAAGAAACAUUCCUCAAGCGUUGAAACAAACUAAGCUAGAUAUAUACUUUUCACUGCUUGCCAUUUCAUUGUUUUUCAUAAACUCCGGCAACAUUUCGGCACUGCGAAAAAUUAAACCCAAUUAAAUGUGUAUAUUUUUAAAAAUAAUAAAGUAGAUAUUAAAAAAAUAAAAGAAAAACUUAAAUGUACCUAAACAAAUUAAUUCGUGUGCUACGUAAAACUUGCGACUGUAGUGGAACCGUGAAAGCACAGACAAUUUUUUAUAUACAUAAAUACUUACAAGCAUGCAUAUACAUACCUAUAUACAUACAUAUUUGAGUAAAAUGCAAAAACAAAAAAACAAUUCCAAAUCAAAAGCAAAAAAUUAAAUGUAAAACAUUUUUGUGUCGAAAUUAUAUAUAAAAUAUAAAUACAUAAAUACAUACGAGUACAGUACAUACCAACAUAAAGACAAGUUUCAAAAAAUAUAUACAUAUACUUAUAUUAAAGUAAAUGCUAAGAAAAAUUAAUCCUUUUGAAUGUGCGUAUAUUUAGAUAAUUAUAUAAAUAAAAAUUAUUUAAAAAAACAUAUUUAAGAAAAUCAAAAAAAGACUUUGGCAUUUUUCUAAAAGUCUACACUUAUACACAAAAGAAAUAACUGACACACAAACAUAUAACACUUGUAAAAGACAUGUUAUGUAAACAUUUUCGGAAUGCUUUUUUGACUUUUGGCCAUAAAUUUUGUGCGUAUGCGUGUAAAAAUCAUUGUAUGUGCGUAUAAUAGAGAAAAAUAUUUUUUUUCACUUAUCACGUUCGUGUAAACAUAUGACAACCAUUUGACAACUGACAAUUGACCAACAAUUUUGAACAAAUAACUGUUUUAGCCAAGACUACACGACCACACCACACAUACAUACAAACACAAAUGCAUACAGUCGAACUGUGGACCUUCGCCGGCAUGUUGCCACGUCAGGCUACAUGAUCUGAACGAGAUCAAGGCCAGAAGUACAUACAUACAUACAUAUAUUUAUGUAAUUAUUGCGUAUGUAGUAAUUUUAUUAUAAUUAUAUUUCAAAUUUACCACAAACAAACCAGUGCAUACAUGCACGAAAACAUAUUUAUUAUAUAUACAAAAAUUACAUACAUACAUUAGACACUAUCUGUGAUUUAUAAUCCAAAAUUAUUGAUGCGAAAAAUGAGUAUUCAAGCAAAUUCGCAAAAGAAUUGGCAUUGAAGCUGUUGAGGAGUAUUAAGUGAAGAAAAUAAAUAUGAAGAAAAAGCGAAAGUAAAAGGAAAAGUGGAAUUGAGCAAAGAGGAGUGCUAAUAAAAAGCGAAGAAAGUCUAAACAAAAGCUUGAUGAAAACACAAACGGUUAUGGGACUAAUAUAUAUGAGACAUCACAUUAGCCACGUACAUACAUAUAUGUAUAUGAUACAUAAAUGCUGCAAGGACAUAAGUGUGAAACUGUUGCAAAGGAGGAAUUAAAAAUUGGUAAUAUUGAGAAAAUUUAGUAAGCAGAAUAAACGGCAAAUAUAUAUCUUAAUAAAAAUAACAAGUUGUUUGCAGCAAAUUACGCUCUUGAGACCACACGUAGAGCAAAAAAAAAGUAACACGUACAUGUAUACAUAUGCAUUCCUAUACAAAUGUUUGCAUGAAAAUUUUGGCGCAAUUUUUAACGUAAAGUUGAAAUUAUAGCAAAAAAAAACUUUGCUAUAAAAAAUGAUUUGCUACAAAAAUUUUGUUUAACGUUGCAAACAGGAUUUAGUUCCAACUUAAAAUUACCUUCAAAUAUUUUCUACGAAAAGCGCGCAAAAUCAAUUAUAAAACAGUAAAUUUGCACAGAAACACCAGUCGAAAAUCGCAAGCAAAAAUUAAUUAUGAAACCAAAGUCAUCAAAAUUUAUUCAAAACGUGUUUACACCAACAUACAUACAUAUGUAUAUAUUAAAAAUAUAUUUAAAACCACACAAUAAUAUAAAAACAAAAAUAUCAACAAAAAAUAAACAAAAUUAAAAGUGCAAUUACUUGGAAAAUAAAUGGUGAAAUGAUGUUCGUUAGUAAAAACAAAAAAAAAAAUAAAUAAAUAAAUAAUAAAACAAGAAAAAAAUUUGUAAAGAAAUAUAUGUAAAAAAUUUGCGUAUAGGGAAAAUUUAGCAGCAAAUGUAUAAUUAGAACUUUGAUUGAACCAAAUAUAAAAUUAAAUUAAAAAGUUAAAGUAAAUAUAAAUGAAAAUUAUAUAAAAAAUUAAUACAAAAGUUUGUAUAAAAAUGCAUUCUAAUUAGCAACAAUUUAAAAACACUUUUUUAAAAAUAUUAUUAAUAUAAUUUCACUGCUUAAUUUCAAAAAAUUAUGCGUUGCAAUGAGUUGAAACUAGGAAAAAAUAUAUACCGGACAUACAAACAUACAGCAGAAAUGCGCUCAAAGUUGCGCUAAAGCUCUGCUCAUUGAAGAGUCAACUGAGCAGAAAUAGCUUGCACAACUGAGAGCAUACUAAUGAAUACAAAUAGCGUUAGAGAGCAAUAAAAAAUUUGCGAGAACGAAGUGGUAGAGGUGAUAAGAGAGUACGAAAAUUGCUUUCGAACUUAAACAAACAAAAUUUGUUUAAGUAAAACUUAUUUUUUCAACUUCUCAAAACAAAUUUUGCAAAACUACAAGUUUUUCUUAAGUUUUCAAAACAAAUUUUGCAAAAGUAAAAGCUUUUCUCAAGUUUUCUAGCAAAUUCAUUUGCCGGAUAUGGAACUUAACUUCAAAUAUCACCUCUGCACACACUCGCGAAUUACGCCAUUGACUCUAACAACAACCGGCCGAUUUCAAAAACUUAUGGUAUACAAGUUGAAGCAACAAAAAAGAAAACACACACACACACAGACAAGUAUUGGGACAAAAAGACAAGUUAAGCUACAGUUGAUUUAAUAAUUAAGUUAAGAAAACGUCUAAAGGCGGACGUUUAGGGCUGAAUGAAUGGGAGAGCGCUUGAAGGAGCGCGCAGAGAAUGCAAAUUGUAUGUAAAAUCCCUCAGGUAUGUGUUUUAUUUUCGGAGAGAAAAAAGAUUGACUACCAUAUUUUUAAAUAUUGUAUUUUAAAAUGCUAAAUAGAAUGUUAGAUUUGUAAAGAGUUAGUAAGCAGAGAGGACGUGUGAGCAAGAUAGAGAGAGAGAAAGAGAGCGAGAGCGCGCGCGAAAGAAAAUCCUGCUAAUUGAGGAGCCGGAGUGUUGCGUGGCAGGAAUGAUCAAAUGUUGUUGGUGUGCAGCCACAAGUCGCAAAUGUCUCUAUUUUCUUUGCAAACAUCUCUUCAACACGCAGUUUUGUACAUACUUACAGACCCACAGUUAUAGAAAUUUAUAUAGUUUUUGUAAUAUACGACAUGCAUACAUACACAUACAGGAUAUGAGCAUAAUUUUACAUAUAAUUUUAUUUUUUAAACUUAAAACUUAAAUAUUUUUAACUAAAUAAUUGUGUUAGUAAUUCAAAAGUUAGUUGGCUUAGAACUUUUGCUACGUACAUACAUACAUAUUGCGCGUGGAAUGGUUUAGUAGUAUUUUGGGUGAUUUGUACUGAGCGGGGAGCAUUUUUCUACUACUUAUUAUCAAUUUUCAAGACCUAACACCCUAAUAAAUUGUGCUGUGUUCGAGCAUUUGCUAUGAUGCCUACCCGUUCUGGCGCAACAACAACACGAAAUAAUCUAAUGUUUACUGUUAAUAUAGUAUAUACUUACAAACCGUUUAUAAUUUUUUUUUUGCAGUGUAGAGAGGGUUAGAAGUGGAGCAGGCAGAGAUGGCGAAGCAAUGGGCUGCUUAUAUGUAUAUAUAGACAAAAUUGAAUUUAUAGUGCAAUUGUUUUUUAAAAAACGAAUUAAAGUAGUGAAAAUCUUUAAGCGUGUGAGCACGUUCUUAAUUUCAAGUAGAAACAUUAUGGCAAUGUUUUUGUUUAAUAUAUUAUUUUUCUCUAAUUAUCUUAUUAACGCUUUUUUAUGUGUAAAUGUUUUAAAACAUGAAAGAAAAGGACUCAAAGGACUUUUUUGUAUUUUUUAUCAAAGUGAAAUGUUGCUAUAAUUUUUAAAAUUUACAAUUUAUGUUGUUGACAUUUACCAGCAACAAUAUUGCAUACGUUAAGCGAAAUUGAAAUCAAAAAAAUUCGCAUUGCGCGUUAAGUCUUUUGGACUGUGAAUGGCGAAUGGCAGAAUGUAUAUUUAUAUUUACUAUAUUUAUAAUUACAAAAAAAAAAUAAAAAUAAAAAAACACUUUUUAUAUAUACUUUACACAUAAUAAACGAAAAAUCCAAAUAAAAUUAAUAUUAAUCAUUCUAUUUUACAAAUAAAGCUAUUGUAUUUAGAUAUCUAUUAUAUUUGCUAUAUUGUUUGAAUGAAACGAGUUAAAAUUGUAAGCGCAUUUAAUGCAAUGCAAAGUAAACUGUAAUAUUAAAAGUGAAAAUGUUGCAAUGACCUCGUGUACCAAAUGUAAUUACGAUCUGAUUUGUUUAGUUGUUUUUUGUAAACACUAUUUAUUAAUUUUAUAUAAUAACCUAUGUUUACCAAUUAAGCGUAUGGUAAGCUCUUUAGUUGCGGUUAAGCUAAAGAAAACUAUAUAGAAAGGACGAAAAAAGAAAGCGUCAAUAGAGUAGGUGAUUACGAAAAAAAUAAUAAUUUGUGAAAUCUGCUACAUGCCACAAUUAAAAAAAAUAUUUUGUGAACAUAUUCAGCAAAACCACACCCUUUCAAAAUUAAAUCUAUCCAAAUGAGAAGGAGGAUUUUUCUGUUUUCGCAAUUAUUUCGAAAAUAUUUUUUCGUACCUCAUUUUAGCAUAAAAAGUUUUCCAUAUAAACAUAAAUACAACAAUAAAAAUUUUUUUAAACGCAAUUUAACAAAAAUUUUAUUUUUAAUACCCUCUGUGAAACUAAAACACAUACCAAGAUGAGAAGAUUACCAGAUUUACCAAGUAAAACCGUCAAAUAAACAAAACAAAGCUUAAAAUUGUGUAAUAAGGCACAUUGCAACAACAUACAUAAAUACAACUAACCCAAUUAAUUACAGCAUACAGCAAAGACAUUAAAAAAAAUAAGCAAACAGCAAAACAUAAACCAACAAUAGUAAAAACAGCUUAUUUUCCAAACAAAACAAAUCAUAUAAGUGAAAAAGAGCAAUAGCCCAAAUAUAUAUAGCAAUGCUUUGUGUAUUGUAUAUAUAUCCAUCUACACAGUAUAUAUGUACAUUGUAUUAUAUGCAGGCAUAUAUAAAUAUAUUGGAAAAAUCGCAAAAUAGCCGAAAAACUAUUGGUUAUUUACAGAAAUAAGCAACAAAACAAAACCCACAAUAGUAAUCUUCCCUCUCCACACGCACAAAAACAUAUAACAACAACACUGAAUAUGUUAUAUAAGAAAUAAUUGAUUGCAAAUCAAAGAAAUUAAUAUAAAUACAGCCGACAGUCGAUUGUUUUUAUUUUUAAAUAUUGUAUUGAAAUAGUCGAAAAAAACCAAAAUAUGCAGUGUAAGUCAAUAAUAUUGACUACAGUAAUAAUAAAAAAACCAACAAUAGCAGUAAAAGGGAUUGGCAAUAACCAUAAAUAUUGUAAAUUUUUUAAACAAGAUAGUAUUAAAAUGUGUUGAUGGUAUUAAAAUGCGAUUGUAGUAGCAAAUGGCAGGAGUGAUAAAGUAGUAUGCAUGCAGAUGCGUGCACGGUUGGCAAAGCAGUGCAAGCAGUUGGUCAUUACUUACCGGAUAUACGUGUACGUAGCAGCGACCACAGACGGAUAUCUCGCGCAUGAACACGUUUUUGUUGUUGACAUUUCGAAUUCAAAUAAUUUUACAAACUUUUCAUUUAAAAUAUAUAUUUUUAAUUCUAUUCGACUUUUGAUUUUUUAAUCGUCAGCACUUUUCAAACUUUUGAGUAGCCUAAAUUUAUUAAAUUAUAUUUUCUGUACACGGCCUUUAUCAUAUUUUUUGCCAUAUAGUUACUUUUUUUUAUUUCUUCACUUACAUUUUUUAAUUUUCUUUUUUUUAACUUUGCUUUAUUACCACUUUUUAUUCUUAUUUUGCAUAUCAAAUAAUUACGACAGCAUACUUUAUUACUUUACGCAUAUGCAAUCAUUGACCGAAACUUUACUUUGCAUAUUUUGCCAAGACACGAAUUGACCAAAACGAACACGUCACUUUAUAUUUGUAUCACUUUUUAAUUAUGUCUGAUUACUUCACGGCAACGUGACGAUUUUCCGAAGCUAACACCGCGCUUUGAAUUUUUAUAACUUUUUUUUUUAAAACCGCGAAAACACCGACUAACCGAAACUUACGCUUUAAUCUGUUGUACCAUUUUUUAUUUAAUUAUGAUUUUCCCGAACUGACACUUUACUUUUAAAUUUUUACAAAUUUUCCAAAAAUCGCGAUCGGUUAUUUUAAGUAAACACACCGAUAAAUCGGAACUGCCUUCGAAGGAAACUGCUUUGACUUUGUAUGAAUUACAGAGUAAAAAAGAAUACUGUUAAUACAGUUCGUUUUGAUGUACCGAAUAUAAGCACAAACAGAAUUGACAGGAGUAACGCCAUUUUGAGCAUCACCUAAUAAGAUUUUUGAUUUCAGUGAAAUUCUACAGAAAUUAUUGUAUUAAUGUACCAAAAAUGUGACACAUAGCAUAAUGGUACCGAUGUGCAAGCAAAAAAAUAUGACUGCAAGCAAAAACAACAAAUAUCACACAAACCAGCCGCUACCACAAUGCGCUGCUUAUAAGCUGAUGGCAAACACUUAUAAUCUUUGCACUUCAACAUAUUUUGAGCACACAUGUAUUUUGCUAAUCUCGGCAUUGUAUUGCACAACUUUUGCCAUUUUCUCAACGAAUUUACUAUUAAUUUAACUAUUUUUUCCACACUAAACACAAACGAAACGCGAACACGAACCGAACUUAAUGAUAACUGCUACCGAUUUGUUUGCCAAGUUGCCAUCUUAGUCAAGUGCAGCCAUUACCGUACGCGGUAGUUAAUGCAGUGCAAACGAUGUUAGGCAGCGACUUCCUUAAGGCCGUUUAACGUAAACUGCAAAAAUUAAAUUAAAAUGGAAUUAAUCAUUAAUUUGCAAUUAAAUAGAUAAAUUUUUGCUUAGCAGCAAGCAAUCGCAUUUUAAGCUAUCAUUAGCAUUUUACUAACUUGUAAAACAUUAAACUACGCGUACAAUAAACGUAUGUGUAGAUUUGUCCACAAAAUACCCAACAAUACUUACAAUAGAUAUUUGCUUACCAUAGUUAUACAAUAGUCAACCAAACAGCAGAAAAUACAACUAAUUAACGCAUAAAAUAACGAAAUGAAAUAAAUGAAACAAUAUAAUUAAUAGAUCAGUCUUUAAAUGUUCACAACAACAACAACAACAUUAAAAACCAACAGCAAUAGCCCGAAAUACCAGCCUACAAUAGCCCAGUAAUUAAAGCAGUUUCAAAUAAGCCAGAAAUAAUUGAAAACAAGAAAAACCAAGAACAGCCACAACAAUUACUUACAAACUACAACAACAAUAUCAAUAAUAUGCCGUAAACAUAAUAAUGAAUAGCAACUUGUACUUAACACUUAAAAUACAAUAUUUUAUUAAGACCUACAUUUAAACGUAAAAAGCGCGCCAAAACGUGCGCGCAAUGCAUAAACACAUAUGUAUAAACGAAAUAAAAUAACAUAUGUAUGUAUGUGUUUUAUAUUCUCAUCGAGUUGUCGACUGUUUUUAUUUUAUUUUGCGUCAAUUGCAACCGACAAGUUGCAUAUUUCGUUUAAAAUAAUAAAAUUAGUACUUUUCACUUUCCAUUUAACUGUUUUAAUCGUUAUGUUAAAUUGCUUACAAACUCGUACAUAUAUUUUUGAUGACUACUCCAUAAUUAACUAGUGUAGUAAUGUUCAUUUUUGUUAUGUUUGUUACAAUGCGCUUGCGCAAUUUGUUUCCUUACACCUAUGUUUAUGUUGAAAGCUGUAACUAUCAUUAUUAUGAAAUAAUAUUUGUGAAAUUACUCAAUGUGAAACUGUAUUAUUUUUCACCUAACUAUGAACUUACAGUAAAGUAAUUGAAAUGUAUUCGAAAUAAAAACUAAAUAUCACAUACAAAUUACAAUAGUAUCUAACAAUUUUAAUGCAUAAACAAUACAAUAGUUUUCAAAUAAAUCUCACAAUUACAAUUACAAUUACAACUACAAUAGCAAUAGCAAUAGUAAUAAGGCUCCAACCACAAACAAUAAACCAUAAAUCAACCAACGACAACAGCCAUGCGACAGAAAAAAUAGUCGAAAUUCCAAGAAGUCAAUAGAAAAUCACAAAAUUUAAUACUUUUUUUACAAUUUGAAGUGAUUAUUUUUUUAUUUUGUUUGUUAUUAUUUAAUUAUUUAAAAAUUACGAAAUUUAAUUUUUUUGUCAAAAAUUAUUACAGUUUGUGCCACAAUUACAUAAAAAAAUCAUAUCUAAUUAUUAUUCUAAUAUAAAAAUAACGAAAUUAAUUUUUUUUUUUAACAAAAAACAAAUUUCAUAUUUAAUUAUUACCCUAAAACCAAAUUAGUUGGUUUUUAUUUAAAAAUAUUUUGAAUUCUAAAACAAUAUAUGUAUAUUUUGCACUUCCAUAAAUAAUAAAUUUAAUUGCACAGCAUUAUUGCUUAAAUUUUCAAUUUAUUUUUAUGCGAUUUUUGAGUUUAAAACAAUUUAAUAUUUUCAUGAAGUUAUUCCACACAUUUUAUACACAAGCAAUUGUUACAAAAUUCUUAAAAAUAGCUAAUAAAAUAUAACAUUUUAUUAUUGUAAUUAAUAAAUUAUUACUUUGCAUAAAUUUUUUUACUCACGAGUGUUGGUAAUUUUAUUGUUUAUAAAGUUGUUAUAAAUAAAAUAUGCUGAAAGUUGUAUUUCAACGCAAACUACACAACACUAACGCAAGUACAAUAUUUAAAAUUCACUUUGGGUGGCAAAACUGGACAUUACAAAUACACAACAAUGCAGAAUUUUCACAUAGAAUGUACAAAAACAAAACUUGAAAAUGAACUACGCCUAAAUAGUCACUAAAAAUUCAUGACGUGAAACUUUCUUAUUUAUUUUGUGCAUAUAUAGAAUAUAUAUUUUGAACACUUUAUUAAAAUAUGAAAAAAUACGUUGAAUUUACGGCAACACAAUUGGAAAAAUUCAGUUAACUCGCAGUUUCAAUAACUCGGCCGCUAACGGCACACACAAAAUGACAGCAGCAUUCCAUUAUGCAGGGUUUACACUUUGUUAUGUGAAACUUUAAAUGUUUAUGUGGUGAAAAUUUUAUUUUAACCUCUUAAUAAAUUUAAUAUUUUUAAAAUAAAUAUUAAAAUUAUUUAAAAUGGAAAUUAAUAUUUUUAAAAUAAAAUUUAAAAUUAUUAUAAGAAAUCUAAUAUUAUUUGCCGUGAAUGAAACAAAGAAAAUAAUUGUCUGCAAAAGCAAACUAAAAAAUUUUAAUUAAACGGGUUCACAUAUUUUCGAAGUGUCGUUUUCCCUUUCGUUCUCUUUAUAAACAACACAACACAUAAUAUAUGAAAUGUCAAUGUAAAAAUAAUGUAAAAUUAAAAAAUAUAUAUAUUGUGCAUUUAAAUUUAAGUUUAUUUAAAGUAAAAAAUCGUAUUGGUAAUCGAAUUAGUAGCGUUCUAUUUUUAAUUAAUGCCUAGUUUAAUUCUUUUUUCAAGUGUUGCAACAAAAAUAAAAAUCUAAAAAAAAGUGAAACAAAAAUUCAAUUUAGAAAUAGUAGCAACAAAAAUAUCAAACUUUAAAUGCGUAAAGCAAAAAUUAAAAUUAAUAGUAAAACAAUUAUAUAUGUAAAAUAAAGUUAUAUUUACAAAAAAUAAACAAAAAAACGUUCAGUUUGAAAAUGAUUGCUAGGGAGACAGCAAGCGAGCAGAAUCACUUUUAUAAACGAUAUAACUUGUUUAGAUUGCCUUAGAUUUUUACGUGUCUAAUUACAUGCAUAGUUUACAUAUAUAAAUAGCGCUAUGUGGAUGUUUGUUUUUACAUAUAUACAUACAUAUAUACAUAUAUAUAAAUAUUUACUAUUUUUAUAAUUAAUAUAUAAUGUAAUUUUAUGGUUUUAAUAUGAUUGAUUUGUUUACACAACUAUCUUUUUCGUUAUUUUAUAUUUACAUAUGUAUAACGUACGUACAUAUAUGCUUAAAUACAAAAACAAUAUAUAUAUACAUAUAUAUACUACAUACAUAAAUACGUAUACAUAUGCUACAUUGAUACUUUAUACUUUUAAUUGUUUAAAUAUACAAAUACCAAUAUAUAAUACAAAUACACAGACACAUGGAUACAUAUUAUUUUAAUAAAUAAAAAUUUUAGUUAAAACAGAGGAAAAAACAAAAUAAACAACAAUUUGUGUACUACUCAUUUUUUCAACUUAUAAAUAGCUACGAGGUAAUGUGUUUAUUGCUUUUUUUUUGUAAUUUAUUUUCUCAAAUACACUUUAACUCUUUUAAAAUGCUUUUAUUUUGCACACAAAUGUAAUAAAAAGCAAGAUUUCGGCUGCAGAAUAGUAAUGGAAUAUUGUAAGGAAUAAAGCACACACACACAUGCAAAUAAGCAGAAAAUAUGCGAAAAAAACAAAAUCACAACAAGCAAUAACCAAUUACAAUUAUAGCAAUUAAAAAAAUUACAAUAAAUAAGUAUUUCAAAUACAAUGCAAUAGACCAAAGUGAAUACUGGUCGUGUGGGGUUAAGCAUGGUGAGAAUUAAAAGUGUGGUGAAGAGAGUAAGAGAGUUUACUAACAUUAAGCUAUUUGAAAUAACGGUCUAAAAUACUUUGUAUGCGAAGUAACCGGUACGGAAAGUAAUCGGUAUGUAAAGUAAUCGGUAUGCAAAGUUAGCGGUAUGCAAAGUAACCGGUACGAAAAGUAUUCGGUAUGCAAAGUAAUCGGUAUGUAAAGUAAUCGGUAUACGAAGUUAGCGGUAUGCAAAGUAACUGGUAUGCAAAGCAAUCUGUAUGCAAAGUAAUCGGUACGCAAAUUAAUCGGUAUACAAAUAACCGGAUCACAAAGUAAUCGGUACGCAAAACAACCGGCAAAGUAAUUGGUACUGAGGCAAAGACAAACGACUUGAAGGUUACAGUUUUGAGAAAGCAAAUUACUAUAACCACAGUAAUUCUCAAACCGAGUUAAUAGUUGGUCGUAACAACUACGAGAGUAAGACACAUUUUUAAAGACCCGCCAUGCGACAGAUCCCAACAUUACCAUUGUUUGCUCCAUUUUCACAUUGAACUAUUGGCAAAAAUACAAACUAAUAAUAAUUACAAAGCAAUAGUAACGGUUAAAAGUCAGAACAACUAUUUCGGUGAACGAUUAAAGCGAACUGCAAGAAGUAUUUAUGUUUUUUUUUUUUUUUUAAUUUUCCAAGUUUGAGCAACGCUUACCUUUUACUGGUGAUUUCUUUAGAAAAAUGUCAGAUUCUGUAUUUUUUAUUGUUUUCGAAUGUUAGACUAAGCACACAGUUAGCCAUUUGGAUAGAUUGUGCCGCAAAAUUUGUGCGCCAGAAACCCACUUACAAAAUGCGAUACAAUUUUAUAGAUCAGUGAGUAACCGGUAUUCAAUGCUGACUGCGCAACAGCCAUCACUAACAAUAAGUAGAGGAAAUUCUUAUCUAAACAACAACAACAACUUCAGGGAUCAAAAUUUCAAAUAUUUUGAUUUAUUUAGACCGAAACAACAAGCUUAAGAAGUAAACUAAAACAACAACAACAAAAACUAAAAAUAAAUUAAAGUAAAAAAUAUAUAUAUACUGAAAACUAGAGAGACACUUGACCAUAUCCGAAAUUUUUUUUACAAAAUGUGCGAAAAUCCAAAAAAAAACGGUAAAUAAAAA
Bactrocera neohumeralis is the source of this 12095-nucleotide long non-coding RNA. RefSeq lists it as uncharacterized. The record is from RefSeq and is a predicted model, not a curated record. NCBI's taxonomy places the organism in Eukaryota, Metazoa, Arthropoda, Insecta, Diptera, Tephritidae. The transcript is spliced from 2 exons.